AUUUUGAGAACACUAAUUACUAGUAUAAAAGUUUAACUUUAUGGAUCAAUAGAACAAUAGUAAAUGGUGGCGGCUGAAAGAAUCUCUUUCUCUCUUUCUAUCAGAAUCAAAAGUAAAUAUAAGAAAAUAAAAAAAAAAAGUGAAUUGAAGAAGGAGGUCUUUCAGCCUCUUCUUUGUGUCUCUCUCGAUUGCCUCCCUCUUA
Molecule: long non-coding RNA, 202 nt
Filed under: Lathyrus oleraceus (garden pea)
Lineage: Eukaryota; Viridiplantae; Streptophyta; Magnoliopsida; Fabales; Fabaceae
Description: Pisum sativum (pea) long non-coding RNA (PSAT_LNC041727)
Source: RNAcentral